This 253-nucleotide ribosomal RNA is filed under the name uncultured bacterium. Its description in RNAcentral is "partial 16S ribosomal RNA". It matches the Rfam family "Bacterial small subunit ribosomal RNA", at positions 524 to 776 of the family's 1533-position model. The record is from RNAcentral.
UACGUAGGGUGCAAGCGUUAGUCGGAAUUACUGGGCGUAAAGCGUGCGCAGGCGGUUUUGUAAGUCUGACGUGAAAUCCCCGGGCUCAACCUGGGAAUUGCGUUGGAGACUGCAAGGCUAGAAUCUGGCAGAGGGGGGUAGAAUUCCACGUGUAGCAGUGAAAUGCGUAGAUAUGUGGAGGAACACCGAUGGCGAAGGCAGCCCCCUGGGUCAAGAUUGACGCUCAUGCACGAAAGCGUGGGGAGCAAACAGG